This 109-nucleotide small nucleolar RNA is filed under the name Cervus elaphus hippelaphus. RNAcentral describes it as "Small nucleolar RNA SNORA11". It matches the Rfam family "Small nucleolar RNA SNORA11". Rfam says of the family: U107 (SNORA11) is a member of the H/ACA class of snoRNAs that guide the sites of modification of uridines to pseudouridines. This snoRNA was identified by RT-PCR from blood cells and its expression confirmed by Northern blot analysis. There is no predicted target for this guide snRNA. Lineage: Eukaryota; Metazoa; Chordata; Mammalia; Artiodactyla; Cervidae. The record is from Rfam by way of RNAcentral. RNAcentral also lists the same sequence under 1 other name.
GGGGUGUGCUCAGAGCAGGGGGCCCGAAGACACGGCUCGGCUGUUUCCAACACACCCGACAGGAACCUGGGUUCGCUGCGGCCUUCCUGUGAGCAGAAACCCCGCACCU